Molecule: ribosomal RNA, 253 nt
Filed under: uncultured bacterium
Lineage: Bacteria
Description: partial 16S ribosomal RNA
Rfam family: Bacterial small subunit ribosomal RNA
Source: RNAcentral
UACGUAGGGGGCAAGCGUUGUCCGGAUUUAUUGGGCGUAAAGAGCGUGUAGGCGGCCUUACAGGUCAGCUGUGAAAACUCGAGGCUCAACCUCGAGACGCCGAUGGAAACCAUCUGACUAGAGUCCGGAAGAGGAGAGUGGAAUUCCUGGUGUAGCGGUGAAAUGCGCAGAUAUCAGGAAGAACACCCGUGGCUAAGGCGGCUCUCUAGUACGGUACUGACGCUGAGACGCGAAAGCGUGGGGAGCGAACAGG